AUGGCCAUCUUCGACGAGUUCUACAUUGGGUCCAUUGACCUCGGGCGCCUCAACUAUGGGAUCAUUUCACUCAUCCCCAAGGUGCCUGGGGCUUCCGACAUACGCCAGUUUCGACCGAUCGCGGUGAUUAAUGUGAUCUUUCGGAUUCUUUCAAAAUGAUAUGCCAAUAGGGUGACCCUGCUUGCCGACCACAUUACCCACCCCAACCAACCUGCCUUCAUUCAAGGCCGGUAUAUCCUGGAUGGGGUGCUAGUACUUCAUGAAGUCCUCCAUGAGGUCCGUUCUAAACACCUCAGGGCGAUUUUCCUGAAGAUCGAUUUCCAUAAGGCGUACGACACUGUUAGUUGGCCCUUCCUUCAGGAAGUUCUGCUCCAGAAGGGCUUCGACGACCGUUGGAUCACCAGAGUGAUGCAGAUGGUUUCCUGCGGUCGCACUGCCGUGAACAUCAAUGGGGAGAUUGGUCCUUACUUCCCCACUCUUUGUGGGGUUAGACAAGGCGACCAUUUCUCCCCAUUCUUGUUCAACAUGGUCGUGGACGCGCUUGCCGCCAUCCUGGACAAGGCUAACGUUGCGGGCCAUAUUCGUGGGAUCACUCCCCACCUGGCCGGUGGCUCCGGGAUUUCCCUUCUCUAG
RNAcentral lists this ribosomal RNA (633 nucleotides) under Triticum aestivum (bread wheat). RNAcentral's name for it is "partial small subunit ribosomal RNA". The record is from RNAcentral. Lineage: Eukaryota; Viridiplantae; Streptophyta; Magnoliopsida; Poales; Poaceae.